GUCACUCAAUUGCAACAAAAAAGGGAAAACCCGUUUUUUUUCCUCUCAAAAUCCUCCAAAUCCCUGAAACCAAACGCGCCCUUAAUGUUUCCAAGUACCUACGGCCUUCUCUAGUCACUCUCAAUCGCAAGGAAAAGCAGGAAAUAAGAGUUGUAACAGUACUGACUUUAAAGCAUACUAGCUGUAAAGUGUAUAUGUGUACAGUCAAAGAUUUGAAACCAUUUUUGAGCUUCGCAAAAUCAACAAACUAAGACAUUAUUGCAUGCAUGCAUCACAGAUUCACACGCUUGAAUAUAUUACAGUACUAUUUUACCAAUUAAAAUAUGUUUAGGGCAAAUCAUUUCAGCCUCCCCAAUCUCCUAUUUUUAGGGCAAAUCAUUUCAGCCUUCCCAAUCGCCUCCAUCUCUAUUCUCGUUCUCAACUCUCUCUCUCUCUCUCUGCAACUGCAAACUACCAGAUCUAGAAGAAUCAGAAGUUCAAAACCCAUAUAUUUCAGUUGAUCUAUCUGUCUGCAAGAAUCAAAAGAUCAAAACCUAAUACCUAUACCAAAACCCAUAUCUGCAUAUCAUUUCAGAUUGUUCAAAAAAUCAAGACCCAUAUCUUUCAGUUUCCAUCGCCCGCUGUUCCAGUUCGGGUUCGCCGUUCGCAAGCUUCAGCCGCUGUCUCUCAACUCUCAAGCUUGCCCCCCUCGCUCUCUGCAACUGCUAACUUGUACGUUAGCAUCGGGCCUAAACAUUUAGCAAGAAUAAGGUUCAAGAAACAUCCCUCCUCGGUCAUCAGGUAUCUUUUCCGAAAGAAGAGAGAUGAUGGGAAUGGGUGGAGUAUGGCAAAAGAAAAUAGGAGUUUACCUUGAAAAAGGAAGGCGGCUGGUAAUGCCCAAAAGGUUGUUAACCUCAGCCUGGCUGUAAUGGACUCGUCGAUUAAUGAACGAGUUGUUUGUCAAUUAAUGAACGAGUUGGUCGACCAGCGGCGGCUGUGUCCUUCUACGCAUGGUUCACUGAAGAUACGCAGAGGGGAGCCGAAAUAGAGAGAGGAGCUUCAGAAGAAGCUGCUUGAGGAAGCAUUUAAAAGCAUUUAAACCAGUGGUGGAAGGUCGACUCCCACCAGAGUGGAUGCUUUGGUGGAGAGAAGUGCAAAUGCCAAGCUUCAAAUGCUGCAAUGCUUGCACUGUUUGCGGCAGCAGCCCCUCUAAAAAGCAGCCACAGGGUCUUUGAAUUCUCUAGUUUAUAUAUAUAUAUGCAUGAAUGGAUGUUAAAGGUUUUUACAAUUGCCUUAAAAGUUGAAAGUAGUUUGAAGUCCAAUUAUAGUAUUCUGGCUUUUAGUAUAUUUUACUAGCAUUUUGGCUUCAUUUCUGGUGUUUCGGAAGUGGGCAUAUGCCCUCUUGCUCUUGCAUUGUUGGAUAGCCUUGAACAAUUGAUGGGUUUUGCUCUGAAUUUGAAGUGGUACUCCCAUUGGUAAUCCACAUCACUUGAUCUCACCAUGUUCUUCAAUAGAGCCACAGAUAAAAUUGUUGGAUAGCCUUGAACAAUUGAUGGGUUUCGCUCUGAAUUUGAAGUAGUACUCCCAUUGGUAAUCCACAUCACUUGAAGCACAGAUCUCACCAUGUUCUUCAAUAGAGCCACUGAAUGAAUUGUGUUCCCCACAAGCGCAUAAAGUAGCCCCUCAGCUGGAUUAGGAAAGUUUCGGGUGAGCCACUAUACUCUUUUAGUAGGGAACAACAUUUAUCUACUCAUUCUUACUACUCGGUGGUAUCAUAAAUACAUACAUUAGAGGUGGUUACAAACAUAUGUGUGUGUUUGGUUGAAGGGAUGGAUUUUGGUUAUAGAUAUGGUGUGUGGAUAACUGCGUGCAUAUAUAGAGAUAUGGUGUGUGCAUACAUAGAGAUAUGGUAAUUUAUUAAUCGUUUGGCUUGGGGAUCACUCCAGCCAUGGCUUGGCUUUUAUGCGAGGGCAUUUGGAUUUCUUUUACAGGGGUGGGGUGUCUUGCAUCCUUGGGUAUUAGGGUUAGGAUUAAGGUAAGGGUUGGGCUUAUGAGAAGUACAUGUGUACAAAAAUAUGCUCGUAUUUACAAGGUAAACCCUAGAACCAUGUAUAUAUAGAAGUAUUUUUGUGUGAGAAUCGAAUUAGGUAGUUCGAAACCAUGUGAUCAGGACUAAUCCAAAAAUGUUACGCAAUCAAAUAUCCGUGUGUUGGCACUCCAUUUUCAUAUAUGGAUUGCUUGGUUAGUGAUAAGUUUUAAUUAGUCA
This is a long non-coding RNA of Cornus florida, 2245 nucleotides long. RefSeq lists it as uncharacterized. The transcript is spliced from 4 exons. NCBI's taxonomy places the organism in Eukaryota, Viridiplantae, Streptophyta, Magnoliopsida, Cornales, Cornaceae. The record is from RefSeq and is a predicted model, not a curated record.